RNAcentral lists this ribosomal RNA (466 nucleotides) under uncultured bacterium. RNAcentral's name for it is "partial 16S ribosomal RNA". It matches the Rfam family "Bacterial small subunit ribosomal RNA", at positions 28 to 507 of the family's 1533-position model. The record is from RNAcentral.
GAUGAACGCUGGCGGCGUGCUUAACACAUGCAAGUCGAACGGAAAGGCCCAAGCUUGCUUGGGUGCUCGAGUGGCGAACGGGUGAGUAACACGUGGGUGAUCUGCCCUGCACUUUGGGAUAAGCCUGGGAAACUGGGUCUAAUACCGGAUAGGACCAUCGUUUAGUGUCGGUGGUGGAAAGUUUUUCGGUGUGGGAUGAGCUCGCGGCCUAUCAGCUUGUUGGUGGGGUAAUGGCCUACCAAGGCGUCGACGGGAAGCCGGCCUGAGAGGGUGUACGGCCACAUUGGGACUGAGAUACGGCCCAGACUCCUACGGGAGGCAGCUGUGGGGAAUAUUGCACAAUGGGCGCAAGCCUGAUGCAGCGACGCCGCGUGGGGGAUGACGGCCUUCGGGUUGUAAACUCCUUUCGCCAAGGACGAAGCGUUUUGUGACGGUACUUGGAGAAGAAGCACCGGCCAACUACGUG